CCUACGGGCGGCUGCAGUGGGGAAUAUUGGACAAUGGGGGGAACCCUGAUCCAGCCAUGCCGCGUGUGUGAAGAAGGCCCUCGGGUUGUAAAGCACUUUCAGUGAGGAAGAACGCCUGGUGGUUAAUACCCAUCAGGAAAGACAUCACUCACAGAAGAAGCACCGGCUAACUCCGUGCCAGCAGCCGCGGUAAUACGGAGGGUGCGAGCGUUAAUCGGAAUUACUGGGCGUAAAGCGCGCGUAGGUGGCUUGAUAAGCCGGUUGUGAAAGCCCCGGGCUCAACCUGGGAACGGCAUCCGGAACUGUCAAGCUAGAGUGCAGGAGAGGAAGGUAGUAUUCCCGGUGUAGCGGUGAAAUGCGUAGAGAUCGGGAGGAAUACCAGUGGCGAAGGCGGCCUUCUGGACUGACACUGACACUGAGGUGCGAGAGCGUGGGUAGCAAACAGGAUUAGAUACCCUUGUAGUC
This 465-nucleotide ribosomal RNA is filed under the name Vreelandella stevensii. Its description in RNAcentral is "partial 16S ribosomal RNA". It matches the Rfam family "Bacterial small subunit ribosomal RNA", at positions 338 to 795 of the family's 1533-position model. Lineage: Bacteria; Pseudomonadati; Pseudomonadota; Gammaproteobacteria; Oceanospirillales; Halomonadaceae. The record is from RNAcentral.